AGAGUUUGAUCCUGGCUCAGAUUGAACGCUGGCGGUAUGCUUAACACAUGCAAGUCGAACGGUAACAGGCAGAGCUUGCUCUGUGCUGACGAGUGGCGGACGGGUGAGUAACGCGUGGGAAUCUACCCAGAAGUUCGGGACAACCUGUUGAAAAGCAGGCUAAUACCGAAUGUUGUCUACGGACUAAAGGAGGGGAUCUUCGGACCUUUCGCUUUUGGAUGAGCCCGCGUUAGAUUAGCUAGUUGGUGGGGUAAAGGCCUACCAAGGCGACGAUCUAUAGCUGGUCUGAGAGGACGAUCAGCCACACUGGGGACUGAGACACGGCCCAGACUCCUACGGGAGGCAGCAGUGGGGAAUAUUGGACAAUGGGGGCAACCCUGAUCCAGCAAUACCGCGUGUGUGAAGAAGGCCCGAGGGUUGUAAAGCACUUUCAAUUGUGAAGAAAAGUUGUGGUUUAAUACGCCAUGACCUUGACGUUAACUUUAGAAGAAGCACCGGCUAACUCCGUGCCAGCAGCCGCGGUAAUACGGAGGGUGCGAGCGUUAAUCGGAAUUACUGGGCGUAAAGCGUGCGUAGGCGGUUAUUUAAGUCAGAUGUGAAAGCCCCGGGCUCAACCUGGGAACUGCAUUUGAAACUGGAUGACUCGAGUUUGGUAGAGGUGAGUAGAAUUCCUAGUGUAGCGGUGAAAUGCGUAGAUAUUAGGAGGAAUACCAGUGGCGAAGGCGGCUCACUGGACCAAAACUGACGCUGAGGCACGAAAGCGUGGGGAGCGAACGGGAUUAGAUACCCCGGUAGUCCACGCCGUAAACGAUGUCAACUAGUCGUUGGGCCUUUCGGGGCUUAGUGACGCAGCUAACGCGUGAAGUUGACCGCCUGGGGAGUACGGCCGCAAGGCUAAAACUCAAAUGAAUUGACGG
This 917-nucleotide ribosomal RNA is filed under the name uncultured bacterium. Its description in RNAcentral is "bacterial SSU rRNA". It matches the Rfam family "Bacterial small subunit ribosomal RNA", at positions 8 to 916 of the family's 1533-position model. The record is from RNAcentral.